GAAAUAGCUCCAGCAGUACAUAUUCUAGAAUUGAAAUGGCACAGAGAAGAUUAGCAUGGCCCCUGCACAAAGAUGGCAUACGAAUUCCUGAAGCGUUCUAUAUUUAU
Small nuclear RNA from Octopus sinensis (East Asian common octopus), 107 nucleotides. The record is from RefSeq and is a predicted model, not a curated record. NCBI's taxonomy places the organism in Eukaryota, Metazoa, Mollusca, Cephalopoda, Octopoda, Octopodidae.